CGGGAACCCGAAUCGAAACGAUUAUCCGACGAUAAUUGUUUCGACACGAGGAGUUGUGUUUGCUGUCAUGAUGCACGAUUAUCUAUGUUUAGUGGCAGCAGGUGACUCGUAGCUCGAGUCGGUAUGUUCCGGGACAGUUCGUGGGUCCCGGCGGAGUCCCCGUGCGAUUACGGGACUUCCGGCGUAUUACGGCGAUCGGUUUGGGAAACCGGUCCCCAAGGGUUUGCUUGUAGGUUGUGGAUUUAGUGGUUAUUAGUUGUGGGUUAGACACUAACCCGGUGGACUUUCCUUAGGUCCGGUCGACGCUCUUUCGCAGUCAGGAGACAGGCGCAGCAUUCGUACAGGUGGGUAUUUCGAUCCGACGUCGGUACAGUGGUGCACGCUCGGUGAUGGUUUCUUACCUCUGUUCUCUCGUUAUUAUCUGGCAUAUAUAUAUAUAUAUAUCUUGAUAUAUAGUAUUGAGCUUGCAUCCCCGUUGUUUUCUACUCAUAUGUUUCCUUGCUUAGUAUCAUGUGUAGGAGUAGAGUAGUUUAUCCAUACGUGAUCCCGGUGACCUGAUUAGUCGGUUCUCGUACUUCGUUUCGGUGACCUAGUUGAUCGGUGCUUUUAUCUUAUAUCUGUUGACCUGGUUGGUCGGUUGUUGCAUUAUGUAGUGGGUUGGUCUAUUUCUUGACUUCUGUCAUUCGAUGACCUUGAGGUCGGUGUACCCUGAGGGGUAGGAUUGUCGGCUGGUGCUGACGGUAGUUCUGGACUAUAUCGAAUACACUCCUAUGACCUAUCGGUCGGUUCUUGCGUUCGUACUUUUAGUUGACAUCGAGCAGUAUCUACAUACCAUCUUUAUUUACUCUGCCAAGUUGUUCUAUGUGUAGUAUCCUGUAUAGGGGUAGAGUAGACGACAUUCGUAUAUACUAUACUUGUGACCUGGUUGGUCGGUUCUCCUAUUUGCAUCGGUGACCUGUUUGGUCGUUCGUUACUUUCCGUACAUUGACCUAUCUCGGUCGGUUCACGUUGUUACUUGAUGACCUACACGGUCGGUAUGCCCAGAGGGGCAGUGAUUGUCGGCUGAUUGCCGACGGUUGGCUAUUGAUCAUAUCCGCAUUGAUCGCCACAGCUCGAGUGCAUUUCACGUACACCAGCGGGUUGAUCCCCCGCAGGAGGGUGUUCUUUUCCGGAAAAGUGGUCGUACAUCCGACCCGUGAGCCCAGCGGUGUUCUCUUUGUGCUAGGGUUACAUGCCAGGUGUGAGCAGAUAGUGGCUUUUGCCUGAGGUCCUUAGACCGACACGGCGGUUUAGAUUGGGUACUUUUGGACUUCUCGUCCGGUUGACGCAUAUAGCUAUAGUAGCGGUUGUUGCAUAUGUACUUCUAGUUCUUUCUUUACAGUUGUCAUGCUACUAUAGUUUUGAUAUCCUUGUAUGCUUGCAGUUGUACAUUACAGUAGCGGUAGUUGUGUUUUCAUAUAUAUAUAUCUCAUUCGUUCAUUAUCGUUGCUACUGUAUUUUACUUACCCAUACUGUUGGUUAUCUCUUCCUGAUCCGGUGAGUACUCCUCGCCUUCUUCGGCUUGCGGUACCCACUGGGAGGGGAGACAUGUUUACAUGUUCUCACCUCCCCCACUAUUUUUCAGGUAUCGUGGGCGAUGAGUAGUGGGACGAGACGUGAGGUACGCGUGUAGCGGUCGAUAGAGCUUUCGACCCGGGUUAAUUCGGUUUACUUUCUUACCCUUCUUAUUUUGGCUGUUGAAUAGUUUAGUUGGUUUAUGUGGUUCAGUGUUUAUUUACAUUUAAAAAUGUGGAUUUCUGAAUUUUGUAAAAUAAAAGGUUUUCAACCCCUCGUGGUAGCGUUUUUAACGAAUAAAGGUUUCCGUGUAGGGAACAGUUUUCAAAAGAAUUUUCGUGCAUUUCUAUUUAAACACUGAAUGUAAAACUGUGACGUGAAUGGUGAAUGUAUGAACGUAUAGUUAUCGUUAUAUUCAUUUGGUUGUGGUUGUUUCCUGGCUAUACUCUUGUACUUGUACGACGCCGUGCAAAUACAGGGGAGACUCUGUCCGUGUGAACAGUGGAUUCCCUGUAUUUGUGGCGGAUCUGGCAUACUCUGGGGUCAGGUUUGCAAAAAAAAAAAAUUU
RNAcentral lists this long non-coding RNA (2122 nucleotides) under Ananas comosus (pineapple). Its description in RNAcentral is "long non-coding RNA (ACOM_LNC030292)". The record is from RNAcentral. Lineage: Eukaryota; Viridiplantae; Streptophyta; Magnoliopsida; Poales; Bromeliaceae.